RNAcentral lists this ribosomal RNA (245 nucleotides) under uncultured bacterium. Its description in RNAcentral is "partial 16S ribosomal RNA". It matches the Rfam family "Bacterial small subunit ribosomal RNA", at positions 524 to 768 of the family's 1533-position model. The record is from RNAcentral.
UACGGAGGGUGCAAGCGUUGUUCGGAAUUACUGGGCGUAAAGCGCGUGUAGGCGGUUGAGCGGGUCAGAUGUGAAAACCUUCCGCUUAACGGAAGAAGUGCAUUUGAAACUACUCGACUGGAGUUCGGGAGAGGAGAGUGGAAUUCCCGGUGUAGAGGUGAAAUUCGUAGAUAUCGGGAGGAACACCGGUGGCGAAGGCGGCUCUCUGGUCCGAUACUGACGCUGAGACGCGAAAGCGUGGGGAG